CGUGAGGUCGGAGGUUCAGUCCUCCCAGGCCCACCACUUCGCAAUCCGCAAGGAUUGUCGGAUCUCCUCGAUAUCCGUCGGGAAACACUAUCAGGGGCCGUAGCUCAGCUGGGAGAGCGCCUGCUUUGCAAGCAGGAUGUCGUCGGUUCGAUCCCGUCCGGCUCCACCAACCAUCUUCUGUGAAGGUGGGGCGUGUCGAGUAGAGGAUGAUCGCCCGCGGUCAGUCAUUCGAAAAAGAGUUUGCGGCGCGCUUCGUGCUCUCCGCCUGUUCUGUUUGACAUCGUAAAGAGAAGAUUUGUUCGAACUUCACGGCUGCAAGGCUGUGAUUUGUCGCAAGGACGCUCAAUCCCUUGCCUAUGAUGGGUUGCCUAACCGCGCCCUCGAACGGAUCUCGAGAAGCUGGUCUUUUUGUGCCAAUUCCAUUGAAGCAAGCCCCGCACAGGGUUUUGCUCAGGCGGCGAUCCUUCGGAUCGCGCAGAUGGGUAUUGGCAAUGAGAACGAUCAAGUGUCUUAAGGGCAAUUGGUGGAUGCCUUGGCAUGCACAGGCGAUGAAGGACGUGAUACGCUGCGAUAAGCUACGGGGAGGUGCGAAUACCCUUUGAUCCGUAGAUCUCCGAAUGGAAAAAACCC
RNAcentral lists this unclassified non-coding RNA (630 nucleotides) under Mesorhizobium sp. LCM 3723. Its description in RNAcentral is "partial 16S-23S ribosomal RNA intergenic spacer". The stretch from base 500 to 630 matches the Rfam family "Bacterial large subunit ribosomal RNA", at positions 1 to 130 of the family's 2925-position model. The record is from RNAcentral. Lineage: Bacteria; Pseudomonadati; Pseudomonadota; Alphaproteobacteria; Hyphomicrobiales; Phyllobacteriaceae.